Molecule: ribosomal RNA, 2890 nt
Rfam family: Bacterial large subunit ribosomal RNA
UCAAGUGAAGAAGCGCAUACGGUGGAUGCCUUGGCAGUCAGAGGCGAUGAAAGACGUGGUAGCCUGCGAAAAGCUUCGGGGAGUCGGCAAACAGACUUUGAUCCGGAGAUGUCUGAAUGGGGGAACCCAGCCAUCAUAAGAUGGUUAUCUUACGCUGAAUACAUAGGCGUAAGAGGCGAACCAGGGGAACUGAAACAUCUAAGUACCCUGAGGAAAAGAAAUCAACCGAGAUUCCCUUAGUAGUGGCGAGCGAACGGGGACUAGCCCUUAAGUGGCUUUGAGAUUAGCGGAACGCUCUGGAAAGUGCGGCCAUAGUGGGUGAUAGCCCUGUACGCGAAAAUCUCUUAGUCAUGAAAUCGAGUAGGACGGAGCACGAGAAACUUUGUCUGAAUAUGGGGGGACCAUCCUCCAAGGCUAAAUACUACUGACUGACCGAUAGUGAACUAGUACCGUGAGGGAAAGGCGAAAAGAACCCCGGAGAGGGGAGUGAAAUAGAUCCUGAAACCGUAUGCGUACAAGCAGUGGGAGCCCACUUUGUUGGGUGACUGCGUACCUUUUGUAUAAUGGGUCAGCGACUUAUUUUCAGUGGCGAGCUUAACCGAAUAGGGGAGGCGUAGCGAAAGCGAGUCUUAAUAGGGCGUCUAGUCGCUGGGAAUAGACCCGAAACCGGGCGAUCUAUCCAUGGGCAGGUUGAAGGUUGGGUAACACUAACUGGAGGACCGAACCGACUACCGUUGAAAAGUUAGCGGAUGACCUGUGGAUCGGAGUGAAAGGCUAAUCAAGCUCGGAGAUAGCUGGUUCUCCUCGAAAGCUAUUUAGGUAGCGCCUCAUGUAUCACUGUAGGGGGUAGAGCACUGUUUCGGCUAGGGGGUCAUCCCGACUUACCAAACCGAUGCAAACUCCGAAUACCUACAAGUGCCGAGCAUGGGAGACACACGGCGGGUGCUAACGUCCGUCGUGAAAAGGGAAACAACCCAGACCGUCAGCUAAGGUCCCAAAGUUAUGGUUAAGUGGGAAACGAUGUGGGAAGGCUUAGACAGCUAGGAGGUUGGCUUAGAAGCAGCCACCCUUUAAAGAAAGCGUAAUAGCUCACUAGUCGAGUCGGCCUGCGCGGAAGAUGUAACGGGGCUCAAACCAUACACCGAAGCUACGGGUAUCACGUAAGUGAUGCGGUAGAGGAGCGUUCUGUAAGCCUGUGAAGGUGAGUUGAGAAGCUUGCUGGAGGUAUCAGAAGUGCGAAUGCUGACAUGAGUAACGACAAUGGGUGUGAAAAACACCCACGCCGAAAGACCAAGGUUUCCUGCGCAACGUUAAUCGACGCAGGGUUAGUCGGUCCCUAAGGCGAGGCUGAAAAGCGUAGUCGAUGGAAAACAGGUUAAUAUUCCUGUACUUCUGGUUAUUGCGAUGGAGGGACGGAGAAGGCUAGGCCAGCUUGGCGUUGGUUGUCCAAGUUUAAGGUGGUAGGCUGGAAUCUUAGGUAAAUCCGGGAUUCUAAGGCCGAGAGCUGAUGACGAGUCAUCUUUUAGAUGACGAAGUGGUUGAUGCCAUGCUUCCAAGAAAAGCUUCUAAGCUUCAGGUAACCAGGAACCGUACCCCAAACCGACACAGGUGGUUGGGUAGAGAAUACCAAGGCGCUUGAGAGAACUCGGGUGAAGGAACUAGGCAAAAUGGCACCGUAACUUCGGGAGAAGGUGCGCCGGUGAGGGUGAAGGACUUGCUCCGUAAGCUCAUGCCGGUCGAAGAUACCAGGCCGCUGCGACUGUUUAUUAAAAACACAGCACUCUGCAAACACGAAAGUGGACGUAUAGGGUGUGACGCCUGCCCGGUGCCGGAAGGUUAAUUGAUGGGGUUAGCUAACGCGAAGCUCUUGAUCGAAGCCCCGGUAAACGGCGGCCGUAACUAUAACGGUCCUAAGGUAGCGAAAUUCCUUGUCGGGUAAGUUCCGACCUGCACGAAUGGCGUAACGAUGGCGGCGCUGUCUCCACCCGAGACUCAGUGAAAUUGAAAUCGCUGUGAAGAUGCAGUGUAUCCGCGGCUAGACGGAAAGACCCCGUGAACCUUUACUAUAGCUUUGCACUGGACUUUGAAUUUGCUUGUGUAGGAUAGGUGGGAGGCUUUGAAGCGUGGACGCCAGUCUGCGUGGAGCCAACCUUGAAAUACCACCCUGGCAACUUUGAGGUUCUAACUCAGGUCCGUUAUCCGGAUCGAGGACAGUGUAUGGUGGGUAGUUUGACUGGGGCGGUCUCCUCCUAAAGAGUAACGGAGGAGUACGAAGGUGCGCUCAGACCGGUCGGAAAUCGGUCGUAGAGUAUAAAGGCAAAAGCGCGCUUGACUGCGAGACAGACACGUCGAGCAGGUACGAAAGUAGGUCUUAGUGAUCCGGUGGUUCUGUAUGGAAGGGCCAUCGCUCAACGGAUAAAAGGUACUCCGGGGAUAACAGGCUGAUACCGCCCAAGAGUUCAUAUCGACGGCGGUGUUUGGCACCUCGAUGUCGGCUCAUCACAUCCUGGGGCUGAAGCCGGUCCCAAGGGUAUGGCUGUUCGCCAUUUAAAGUGGUACGCGAGCUGGGUUUAGAACGUCGUGAGACAGUUCGGUCCCUAUCUGCCGUGGACGUUUGAGAUUUGAGAGGGGCUGCUCCUAGUACGAGAGGACCGGAGUGGACGAACCUCUGGUGUUCCGGUUGUCACGCCAGUGGCAUUGCCGGGUAGCUAUGUUCGGAAUAGAUAACCGCUGAAAGCAUCUAAGCGGGAAACUAGCCUCAAGAUGAGAUCUCACUGGAACCUUGAGUUCCCUGAAGGGCCGUCGAAGACUACGACGUUGAUAGGUUGGGUGUGUAAGCGCUGUGAGGCGUUGAGCUAACCAAUACUAAUUGCCCGUGAGGCUUGACCAU